AUUGAACGCUGGCGGCAUGCCUUACACAUGCAAAUCGAACGGUAACGGGCCUUCGGGUGCCGACGAGUGGCGUACGGGUGAGUAAUACAUCGGAACGUGCCCGAUCGUGGGGGAUAACGAGGCGAAAGCUUUGCUAAUACCGCAUACGAUCUACGGAUGAAAGCAGGGGACCGCAAGGCCUUGCGCGGACGGAGCGGCCGAUGGCAGAUGAGGUAGUUGGUGGGUUAAAAGCUUACCAAGCCGACGAUCUGUAGCUGGUCUGAGAGGAUGAUCAGCCACACUGGGACUGAGACACGGCCCAGACUCCUACGGGAGGCAGCAGUGGGGAAUGUUGGACAAUGGGCGCAAGCCUGAUCCAGCCAUGCCGCGUGCAGGAUGAAGGCCUUCGGGUUGUAAACUGAUUUUGUACGGAACGAAAAGCCUUCUUUUAAUACAGGAGGGUCAUGACGGUACCGUAAGAAUAAGCACCGGCUAACUACGUG
Molecule: ribosomal RNA, 482 nt
Filed under: uncultured bacterium
Lineage: Bacteria
Description: partial 16S ribosomal RNA
Rfam family: Bacterial small subunit ribosomal RNA
Source: RNAcentral